Molecule: ribosomal RNA, 194 nt
Filed under: uncultured Rhizophagus
Lineage: Eukaryota; Fungi; Glomeromycota; Glomeromycetes; Glomerales; Glomeraceae
Description: partial 18S ribosomal RNA
Rfam family: Eukaryotic small subunit ribosomal RNA
Source: RNAcentral
AGCAGCCGCGGUAAUUCCAGCUCCAAUAGCGUAUAUUAAAGUUGUUGCAGUUAAAAAGCUCGUAGUUGAAUUUCGGGAUCAAUUUGUCGGUCGUGCCUCGGUACGUACUGGCAUUACUGGUUUCUCUCUUCUGACGAACCAUGAUGUCAUUAAUUUGGUGUCUUGGGAAAUCAGGACUGUUACUUUGAAAAAAU